GAUGAACGCUGGCGGCGUGCCUAAUACAUGCAAGUCGAGCGAACAGAUAAGGAGCUUGCUCCUUUGACGUUAGCGGCGGACGGGUGAGUAACACGUGGGUAACCUACCUAUAAGACUGGGAUAACUUCGGGAAACCGGAGCUAAUACCGGAUAACAUUUGGAACCGCAUGGUUCUAAAGUGAAAGAUGGUUUUGCUAUCACUUAUAGAUGGACCCGCGCCGUAUUAGCUAGUUGGUAAGGUAACGGCUUACCAAGGCGACGAUACGUAGCCGACCUGAGAGGGUGAUCGGCCACACUGGAACUGAGCCACGGUCCAGACUCCUACGGGAGGCAGCAGUAGGGAAUCUUCCGCAAUGGGCGAAAGCCUGACGGAGCAACGCCGCGUGAGUGAUGAAGGGUUUCGGCUCGUAAAACUCUGUUAUUAGGGAAGAACAAACGUGUAAGUAACUGUGCACGUCUUGACGGUACCUAAUCAGAAAGCCACGGCUAACUACGUG
This 497-nucleotide ribosomal RNA is filed under the name uncultured bacterium. RNAcentral describes it as "partial 16S ribosomal RNA". It matches the Rfam family "Bacterial small subunit ribosomal RNA", at positions 28 to 507 of the family's 1533-position model. The record is from RNAcentral.